This 361-nucleotide unclassified non-coding RNA is filed under the name Lackeya viridiflora. Its description in RNAcentral is "partial external transcribed spacer". Lineage: Eukaryota; Viridiplantae; Streptophyta; Magnoliopsida; Fabales; Fabaceae. The record is from RNAcentral.
GUGCAUCGAACGGUUGGCAUGCUGUCCUUUUUAUUUCCAUCAUGUGCCAUUAAGCAUAUUUUGGUAUUUUGUCGUGGGUUCCUGUGCUGCCUACCAUGGAAGUGGUAUUCGAUUAUCUUGGAAUAUUUUGUUCCAUCCAKGUCCUCCUUGGGGGAUGAUGGUGGAUGAGUGCAAUGCAUGUGUUCCACUUUAGUUUUGUCUUAUGAAACUACUGUGGUAUGUAAUGCAAUUGUUGUUCUUUUGGAUGCAGUGAGUGCAUGCAAUGAACGUGGCUUCGAUUGUCCCGUUUAGCUAUAAAUUUUCCUUAGAAUGACUUUUGCCUUGGUGCAUGCACCAUGAGCACGGUCAUGAAUGGAUGCUA